This 621-nucleotide long non-coding RNA is filed under the name Junco hyemalis (dark-eyed junco). Its description in RNAcentral is "lncRNA (ENSJHYG00000007263.1)". Lineage: Eukaryota; Metazoa; Chordata; Aves; Passeriformes; Passerellidae. The record is from RNAcentral.
UAUCAGAUACGAAAGUCCAGACCACGUGUACUUUGUUCUUCCUAACACAUUUCCAAGUCUACAAAUAGAAAAGAGUCCAAAGGAGCAGAUGACUAUUAACUAAUAUUCUUGCAAUGUCGUGCAAUUUUGGCAUUUCAUACGCAGUUUUCAUAAUAAUUUACAGGCAUGCAUUUCUUCAAAAGCAGACAGUGAUAUAACAUUGUGUAAAGCCCUUUGGAUGCCCCUCUCCUCAGCCCUGGAAUCUCUCUGAACUGUCCAUUCUCACUCUCCUGAUUUUUCGGGUCUGACCAGCACAACACAGAGUUGGGAACUUGCUGGACAGCUCAGCCUCGUCACUGGAGGGAACUGGAGGAGAUGUGACAUUCAGGGCAGAGCCAAUUAUCCUGCAGUGAACACUGCAGUCAGGUUAGCUGAACGUGGGUGUUCCCAGCGCCAGCCGGCAUCGGAUUCCAGCCCUCCCAGGGGACCGGAGCUCCUAGGCCGCGCUCUGACGAGGGAGACAGGCGUUCCGACAGCAGAGCAGCGCUAGCUACCAACCUCACCAGAAAACACAAGCUGAGGACAGAACCCCUGGCUAAAUAUAGAGCCCAGCUGGGAGAGAAAACAAUGUGGCAUUGCAGA